This 408-nucleotide ribosomal RNA is filed under the name uncultured bacterium. RNAcentral's name for it is "partial 16S ribosomal RNA". It matches the Rfam family "Bacterial small subunit ribosomal RNA", at positions 28 to 526 of the family's 1533-position model. The record is from RNAcentral.
GACGAACGCUGGCGGCGUGCUUAACACAUGCAAGUCGAACGAAGUGGCGAACGGGUGAGUAACGCGUAAUCAACCUGCCCUUCAGAGGGGGACAACAGUUGGAAACGACUGCUAAUACCGCAUACUGAAGGACGGGUUUGCGACUGAUUAGAGAGUAGGAGGGGUAAUGGCCCACCAAGGCGAUGAGCAGUAGCCGGGCUUGGAGGAUGAACGGCCACAUUGGGACUGAGACACGGCCCAGACUCCUACGGGAGGAAGCAGUGGGGAAUCGUCCGCAAUGGACGAAAGUCUGACGAAGCAACGCCGCGUGAGUGAUGACGGCCUUCGGGUUGGAAAGCUCUGUUAAUCGGGACGCGGUACCGGAAUAGAAAGCCACGGCUAACUACGUGCCAGCCGCCGCGGUAAUAC